Molecule: ribosomal RNA, 352 nt
Filed under: uncultured soil bacterium
Lineage: Bacteria
Description: bacterial SSU rRNA
Rfam family: Bacterial small subunit ribosomal RNA
Source: RNAcentral
AGAUUGAACGCUGGCGGCAUGCCUUACACAUGCAAGUCGAACGGCAGCACGGGAGCAAUCCUGGUGGCGAGUGGCGAACGGGUGAGUAAUACAUCGGAACGUGCCCAGUAGUGGGGGAUAGCCCGGCGAAAGCCGGAUUAAUACCGCAUACGACCUACGGGUGAAAGCGGGGGAUCGCAAGACCUCGCGCUAUUGGAGCGGCCGAUGUCAGAUUAGGUUGUUGGUGGGGUAAAGGCCUACCAAGCCGACGAUCUGUAGCUGGUCUGAGAGGACGACCAGCCACACUGGGACUGAGACACGGCCCAGACUCCUACGGGAGGCAGCAGUGGGGAAUUUGGACAAGUGGGGGCAA